This 1129-nucleotide ribosomal RNA is filed under the name 'Vitis vinifera' phytoplasma (Canada). RNAcentral describes it as "bacterial SSU rRNA". It matches the Rfam family "Bacterial small subunit ribosomal RNA", at positions 208 to 1346 of the family's 1533-position model. The record is from RNAcentral. Lineage: Bacteria; Bacillati; Mycoplasmatota; Mollicutes; Acholeplasmatales; Acholeplasmataceae.
AAUAGGUAUGCUUAGGGAGGAGCUUGCGUCACAUUAGUUAGUUGGUGGGGUAAAGGCCUACCAAGACUAUGAUGUGUAGCCGGGCUGAGAGGUUGAACGGCCACAUUGGGACUGAGACACGGCCCAAACUCCUACGGGAGGCAGCAGUAGGGAAUUUUCGGCAAUGGAGGAAACUCUGACCGAGCAACGCCGCGUGAACGAUGAAGUAUUUCGGUACGUAAAGUUCUUUUAUUAGGGAAGAAUAAAUGAUGGAAAAAUCAUUCUGACGGUACCUAAUGAAUAAGCCCCGGCUAACUAUGUGCCAGCAGCCGCGGUAAUACAUAGGGGGCAAGCGUUAUCCGGAAUUAUUGGGCGUAAAGGGUGCGUAGGCGGUUAAAUAAGUUUAUGGUCUAAGUGCAAUGCUUAACAUUGUGAUGCUAUAAAAACUGUUUAGCUAGAGUAAGAUAGAGGCAAGUGGAAUUCCAUGUGUAGUGGUAAAAUGCGUAAAUAUAUGGAGGAACACCAGUAGCGAAGGCGGCUUGCUGGGUCUUUACUGACGCUGAGGCACGAAAGCGUGGGGAGCAAACAGGAUUAGAUACCCUGGUAGUCCACGCCGUAAACGAUGAGUACUAAAUGUUGGGUAAAACCAGUGUUGAAGUUAACACAUUAAGUACUCCGCCUGAGUAGUACGUACGCAAGUAUGAAACUUAAAGGAAUUGACGGGACUCCGCACAAGCGGUGGAUCAUGUUGUUUAAUUCGAAGGUACCCGAAAAACCUCACCAGGUCUUGACAUGCUUCUGCAAAGCUGUAGAAACACAGUGGAGGUUAUCAGUUGCACAGGUGGUGCAUGGUUGUCGUCAGCUCGUGUCGUGAGAUGUUGGGUUAAGUCCCGCAACGAGCGCAACCCUUAUUGUUAGUUGCCAGCACGUAAUGGUGGGGACUUUAGCAAGACUGCCAGUGAUAAAUUGGAGGAAGGUGGGGACGACGUCAAAUCAUCAUGCCCCUUAUGACCUGGGCUACAAACGUGAUACAAUGGCUGUUACAAAGGGUAGCUGAAACGCAAGUUUUUGGCGAAUCUCAAAAAAACAGUCUCAGUUCGGAUUGAAGUCUGCAACUCGACUUCAUGAAGUGGAAUCGCUAGUAAUCGCG